Molecule: ribosomal RNA, 497 nt
Filed under: uncultured bacterium
Lineage: Bacteria
Description: partial 16S ribosomal RNA
Rfam family: Bacterial small subunit ribosomal RNA
Source: RNAcentral
GAUGAACGCUGGCGGCGUGCCUAAUAUAUGCAAGUCGAGCGAACAGACGAGGAGCUUGCUCCUUUGACGUUAGCGGCGGACGGGUGAGUAACACGUGGAUAACCUACAUAUUAGACUGGGAUUACUUCGGGACACCGGAGCUAAUCCCGGAUAAUAUAUUGAACCGCCUGGUUCAAUAGUGAAAGACGGUUUUGCUGUCACUUAUAGAUCGAUCCGCGCCGCAUUAGUUAGUUGGUACGGUAACGGCUUACCAAGGCGAUGAUGCUUAGCCGACCUGAGCGGGUGAUCGGCCACACUGGAACUAAGACACGUUCCACACUCCUACGGGAGGCAGCAUUAUGGAAUCUUCCGCAAAGGGCGAAAGCCUUACGGAGCAACGCCGCGUCAGUGAUGAGGGUCUUCGGAUCGUAAAACUCUGUUAUGAGGGAAGAACAAAUGUGUAAGUAACUAUGCACGUCUUGACGGUACCUAAUCAGAAAGCCACGGCUAACUACGUG